GGCAAUAUGGCCGAGCGGUCUAAGGCGCCAGAAUCAGGUACAACCAAUCUGGUCCGAAAGGGCGUGGGUUCGAAUCCCACUGUUGUCA
This is a non-coding RNA of Fomes fomentarius, 88 nucleotides long. Lineage: Eukaryota; Fungi; Basidiomycota; Agaricomycetes; Polyporales; Polyporaceae. The record is from the annotation of a GenBank genome assembly.